AAGUCGUAACAAGGUUUCCGUAGGUGAACCUGCGGAAGGAUCAUUACUAAAUCCAAUGAUAAUUCAAUAUGUUGAACCGUUGUCUGAUUGGUGCGCGGCGGGAAUUUCUCGCCGCCACAAUUGCACACACACCACAAUAAUGAUGUACGAAUGGACAGUGAUUUUAUUAUUAUUAUUUCAUAAAAAGCACAACUUUUAACAAUGGAUCUCUUGGCUCUU
RNAcentral lists this unclassified non-coding RNA (219 nucleotides) under fungal sp. RNAcentral's name for it is "partial internal transcribed spacer region". The stretch from base 1 to 46 matches the Rfam family "Eukaryotic small subunit ribosomal RNA", at positions 1786 to 1831 of the family's 1831-position model. Lineage: Eukaryota; Fungi. The record is from RNAcentral.